Molecule: ribosomal RNA, 406 nt
Filed under: uncultured bacterium
Lineage: Bacteria
Description: bacterial SSU rRNA
Rfam family: Bacterial small subunit ribosomal RNA
Source: RNAcentral
UGGGGAAUAUUGGACAAUGGGCGAAAGCCUGAUCCAGCUACGCCGCGUGUAUGAUGAAGGCCUUAGGGUUGUAAAGUACUGUUGUAGGUCAAGAAACAAAUGACUAACCUAUGUAGAAAGCGCCGGCUAACUCCGUGCCAGCAGCCGCGGUAAUACGGAGGGCGCAAGCGUUGCUCGGAAUCACUGGGCGUAAAGGGUGCGCAGGCGGUUUAUUAAGUCAGAUGUGAAAGCCCAGGGCUCAACCCUGGAACUGCAUCUGAAACUGGUUAACUUGAGUAUGAGAGAGGAAAGUGGAAUUCCUGGUGUAGAGGUGAAAUUCGUUGAUAUCAGGAGGAACAUCAGUGGCGAAGGCGACUUUCUGGCUCAUAACUGACGCUCAUGCACGAAAGUGUGGGUAGCAAACAGG